This is a non-coding RNA of Pelobates cultripes (western spadefoot toad), 352 nucleotides long. NCBI's taxonomy places the organism in Eukaryota, Metazoa, Chordata, Amphibia, Anura, Pelobatidae. The record is from the annotation of a GenBank genome assembly.
CUAAAUUCCCCAGAUUACAAUCUGAGCAUCUAUGGGAUGUGCUGGAACAACACAUUCAAUAUCACCUUGCAAGACUUAAAGGAUCUGCUGCUAAUAUCUUGGUGCCAGACACCACAGGGCACAUUCGGAGGUCUUGUGGAGUCCAUAACGCAAUGCAUUAGAGUUGUUUUGGCAGCACGAAGGUCACCUACACUAUAUUAGGCAGGUGGUAUUAAUGCUGUAGCCAAUCAGUGUAAUCUGCUUCCAUGUAGCUCCCUGUGUCUGAAUGAAAAACAUAGCGGGGCUACUUUAAGAGUGGGUUCUCGCCCUGAGAUGAGGAAAGCAAACACUGGUGGUCUCAUUUAAAUGUUGG